RNAcentral lists this long non-coding RNA (3751 nucleotides) under Triticum aestivum (bread wheat). RNAcentral describes it as "long non-coding RNA (TAES_LNC004925)". Lineage: Eukaryota; Viridiplantae; Streptophyta; Magnoliopsida; Poales; Poaceae. The record is from RNAcentral.
UUUUUUUUUUUGUGGGUGAGGCCACAUGUGAUUCUACUCACUAGUAACCGGUGCCACUUGGGCCUGACAGGUCAAUCAGCCGGUUUAGGAGGAAUUGUUUAAGCAAAAUAUUUUGUGGUUAUUCCAUCUUUAAAUUUGGUAAAUCGGUGUGACAAAACAGUAAAAGAGACCAAAGGUGGAACUUGUCCAGCUAGACCUCAGCACCUGGCUGACAGUGAUUAACCAGCUAAUCCCUAGCGCUGCAUCCGUUCAUAUGCAUGCAUCCAUGCGCUAACAGACGGUGCAGGCGCUGUACGCCCGAUCAUACCUACAGUAUUUGCCGCGUGCGGGUCGUGUCACCAGGACAGACAACAUACACUUUUGCCGUGCACAGCAGGAUGGUACGUAGGGAUGAAUGAUUCAACAAAUAAUGGAGGAGGAGGAGGCUGAUCGAUCGGGUUCGUCCAAGACAUGCAUAUAUGUCGUCACGGUCCAAGAAGAAUGAUGAAAAAAAGGACAUGCAUGAAUGCAUGUCGAGCCUUCCCUGUGCAUAUCAUUAUCAAGUACUACCAUGUACGGCAAACAAUACAUAGUACGUCUUUCAUCUUUCCUAAUGAAAUUUCAUCAAGGGACGUCUUAUCGUGAAACAGUAGCGUGAAAACGCGUCACAUGCAUGCAUGCAUGUAUGUGUAUGUGUAAUGAUGGGACACGACAAAAAUUUGAUAAAAGAUGGGACACGAAAAUGGCAGUCAGUCAAGCAACAUGCAUGCAUGAUACGGUUGGUGCCGGCCGAUGGAUCCACCCAGCAAUUCACGUUGCAAUCGUAGAAUGCAAGUGGCUGGUGCCGAUCCUGGUCAGGGUCAGAGCGAGGGAAAGGCAGCAGCUGGCUGGCUGGUACGGCUGAUUUGUAAGGAUGCGCCGCCCGUGAACACUCGGGUUUUGUUGGCUUCCCCGGCAGGGAGGGGGUCGCCACGAUCGACGCCAGAGGGGUGAAAGGCAGAGUCGUCUCGGAGCACCACACCCAUCUCGCCGCGCCGGCCUGGAAAGAGGAAAGGUCACCUUCACCGGCAUGGCGAUGGCCGUUCAUGUUUUGGAAAAGAUAUGGGGUGACUGUGAUCAUUUUCUUUGUAGUUUGUGCCGGCCAGGGGUCAGAGAGUUUGUAUGCACGCUUAAUUACAACGGAAUUUACAUACAGGGAGAAGAACAUAUAUCAGGUAUACUAUACGUGCAUAACCCACAUUUUUUAAUCUGAAUGACGGGCUCCUUGACAAAGAAAUGAUAACCGGCCCCUUCAUAGCACCUUGCAUAGUAAGCGAUCAUAACCUGCCCAAAGUGGUACUAUUUGUCGGUGGCAGAGAGGGGAUUGAGCUAUAUCUUUAUAUGAGUAUGAAAGUAAAGUACUCAGCGUAUGACACUUGAGCGUAUAUGAUUCCCAUACGGUUUUCAAUCCAGCGGAUACCCCUUGCUUUUGCCUCAUACUACGUACAUCAGAGGUUGCAUAAGGUUGCUAUGCAACGUAUAUAGUAUUAAAAACGAGCUCAUAGCGUAAAAAGUCACAACUUGCACGCGUAUAUCACCUAGAGCCGUUAGUUCCUCUCUUUUGCAAAAAAGAAAAAAGAAAAAAUCUAUCGUAUUGACGUUUGCAACAAACACCGAUGCAUCACGUUGCUCAGUUUGACGCUGUUCUUGACGUUGCAGCAAAGAUUAAAAGGAAGGACAUUCCAGGGUCUGAACCUAGGCACAUUUUGUUUUUAUCUCUCCGAUCUCACCGAAUUUGACUGAUGUAAUCCUCCUGUGGUCUGUGCACUCCAUUUUCUGGAUGUUUUUAUCCUUGGAUCCACGAUCAGUGGAAAUUAAUCAGCGAUACAUGCAAAAAGGGUAACAAAUUUGUUAAGUAAUUAAGCCAAUUUUCUACAUAAAUUGAAAGGGUAAAUUUGGCUUUCCGGCCCUUCAAUUGCUUGUUUGCAUGCCUUCACAGGCAUUAAAUUCAGUGAAUAACUGUAUUUGGUAUAUUUUUUGGAUUGUAAUUGCAGUGUGCAUACACUUAUGGAUCUUCAGUCUAGCAGGGCAUAGUGUAGCAUAGUUAGGCUCUAGUAGUUGCUCAAAAAAAGGUUAGGCUCUAGCUCAAGGGUUUAUCUGACCGAGACUCCACCUUAGAUCAUACCCGAGUGAGAGCAUCUCCAAAAGAUGGUAUACACGAUCUUCUGUAUGGGAUUUAGACUAAGACACAAGAGAUUAAUCAAGUAACUUUGUCAUGCAUGCACUCAUCAUGUUAGUAUUAUAAAACUAGUUAGGGCCUAUUUGAUUCACAGGAUUGGAGUGGCAUUGCCCAUGUGAAUCCUAUAGAAUUAGCAAGGACUGUUUGAUGCCAGAUGAAAAACCAAAUGAAUUGUAAGAAAGGCUGGAGUGGAUGUUAGAUUUCCUAUAAAACAUAGUACAAAAGAUUCCGCAGGAAAAGUUCCAACGUAUGAAAAUUACGAAGGAUUUUCAAUCCUCCAAAAUAUCAUAUAGAUGCCCUUUGAAUCAAAGGAGCCCUACAGUUUGGAUGUUGAAUGGAGUGCUAUACGUUAGUAGUACAAAAAUGGAGAAAUUUUUUUACUAGUACUAACUAUCAUGAAGUAUAUUUUCAUAUUGAUUCGUAUAUCUCAAAACAAAAUAAUUUUUGGGAGUUGAAUGGUGUUAGAAAAAAAUGAAGAAAUUUUGUUACUUCUAGUUAACAUGGAUCACAUAUAUUUUGAUUUAACAUUUUAAACUUGAUAGUGUAUGCAACAAGUGAGCCACGUGUAAACAUGGGCCGCAAAAUUCGUCCCUACCAGCCCAUCCUCUUUCAUGGCAAAUAUUUCUCAAAAUCUUCUAAAUAUAAACUAUUUCUCAAAAAAAAAGGAAAAUGAAUCACACCUUGGCACUUGCAUUGCUACAUACAAGUGAUGAGCAAUCCAAACUAUUCAAAAAAAAAAGCUCAUACCAGACUACAUAUACUCUAUCUUCUGCAGGACAUGGGCCACGAGCCCACGACCAUUCAACAUCCCAUUGGACAUACACUUGCAUCAAACAAGCUUAUUGUGCUGUUCGGUGAAACGAUGAAACCGGCUUCAAAUUCAUACAUGAAAUGAAAUAAGCUUGUGUUGUAGUACAACGUAAUGUACAUAACGAAGAAAUGCCAUUGGAGACCCCAGUGAUUAUGAAUUUAUGACAAAGCGAGCAAGGUACGAGUAAUGAAUGAAUAUUCUGCAAAUUACAUUUCAUCAAACAAAUACAAGUGUUACACGUGCUUAAUCGAUUUACUGUUCAUGCGCACACACGCACACCCAGUCGUAUGUAUCUCUUGUAGUACACAGCCAAACUAAGACAAAUUAAUCUCACCAAACCAGUGCAUAUAAAUUAACACACGCAAGAAAAACUACUUAACAACCGACCGAUUAUUGCAUGAUGAAAUCAAAUUUGGAACUAAAAUAACAUACAUGCAUGGAUGCACUGACGAUGCAUGCAUGCGCUGAUUUGCCUGAUUAACUGAUGGAUUAAGCGCACUGGAAGCCCUUGGGGGCGGUCUUGCCGCAGUAGUUGAGGAGGAGGCUGAGCUUGACGGGGAUGUUGAGGACGAUGCCGAGGACGUUGGCCUUGAGCGCGGUGCAGAGGCACACGGCGGCCUCGAGGUCGGCCAGGCCGCCGAGGAGGCUGCAGCACUUGUCGCCGCCGCCGCUGGGGGGCUUGCCGACGCCCACGUUCACCAAGCCCAGCACGUUGGCGCAGGCGCCCAGCUUCAGUGUGUCCG